CAGGAUGAACGCUAGCUACAGGCUUAACACAUGCAAGUCGAGGGGAAACGAUAGAGAAAGCUUGCUUUUUCUAGGCGUCGACCGGCGCACGGGUGAGUAACGCGUAUCCAACCUGCCUAUCACUUGGGGAUAACUUUGCGAAAGUAAGACUAAUACCCAAUGACGUCUCUAGAAGACAUCUGAAGGAGAUUAAAGAUUUAUCGGUGAUGGAUGGGGAUGCGUCUGAUUAGCUUGUUGGCGGGGUAACGGCCCACCAAGGCGACGAUCAGUAGGGGUUCUGAGAGGAAGGUCCCCCACAUUGGAACUGAGACACGGUCCAAACUCCUACGGGAGGCAGCAGUGAGGAAUAUUGGUCAAUGGACGAGAGUCUGAACCAGCCAAGUAGCGUGCAGGAUGACGGCCCUAUGGGUUGUAAACUGCUUUUAUAAGGGAAUAAAGUGAGUCUCGUGAGACUUUUUGCAUGUACCUUAUGAAUAAGGACCGGCUAAUUCCGUGCCAGCAGCCGCGGUAAUACGGAAGGUCCGGGCGUUAUCCGGAUUUAUUGGGUUUAAAGGGAGCGUAGGCCGGAGAUUAAGCGUGUUGUGAAAUGUAGACGCUCAACGUCUGCACUGCAGCGCGAACUGGUUUCCUUGAGUACGCACAAAGUGGGCGGAAUUCGUGGUGUAGCGGUGAAAUGCUUAGAUAUCACGAAGAACUCCGAUUGCGAAGGCAGCUCACUGGAGCGCAACUGACGCUGAAGCUCGAAAGUGCGGGUAUCGAACAGGAUUAGAUACCCUGGUAGUCCGCACGGUAAACGAUGGAUGCCCGCUGUUGGUCUGAAUAGGUCAGCGGCCAAGCGAAAGCAUUAAGCAUCCCACCUGGGGAGUACGCCGGCAACGGUGAAACUCAAAGGAAUUGACGGAAGGGC
Molecule: ribosomal RNA, 907 nt
Filed under: uncultured bacterium
Lineage: Bacteria
Description: bacterial SSU rRNA
Rfam family: Bacterial small subunit ribosomal RNA
Source: RNAcentral